CGUAGGCAGCGAGCGUUGUUCGGAGUUACUGGGCGUAAAGGGUGUGUAGGCGGUUGUUUAAGUUUGGUGUGAAAUCUCCCGGCUCAACUGGGAGGGUGCGCCGAAUACUGAAUGACUAGAGUGUGGGAGAGGUGAGUGGAAUUCCUGGUGUAGCGGUGAAAUGCGUAGAUAUCAGGAGGAACACCGGUGGUGUAGACGGCUCACUGGACCAUAACUGACGCUGAGACACGAAAGCGUGGGUAGCAAACAGGAUUAGAUACCCUGGUAGUCCACGCCCUAAACGAUGCAUAUUUGGUGUGGGCAGUUCAUUCUGUCCGUGCCGGAGCUAACGCGUUAAAUAUGCCGCCUGGGGAGUACAGUCGCAAGGCUG
Molecule: ribosomal RNA, 370 nt
Filed under: uncultured organism
Description: bacterial SSU rRNA
Rfam family: Bacterial small subunit ribosomal RNA
Source: RNAcentral